GGGGAUAUAGCUCAGUUGAUAAGAGUGCUUGCCUCACAUGCAGGAGGCCCUGGGUCCAAGCCCCAGCACCA
RNAcentral lists this transfer RNA (71 nucleotides) under Ictidomys tridecemlineatus (thirteen-lined ground squirrel). Its description in RNAcentral is "Spermophilus tridecemlineatus (thirteen-lined ground squirrel) tRNA". It matches the Rfam family "tRNA". Rfam says of the family: Transfer RNA (tRNA) molecules are approximately 80 nucleotides in length. Their secondary structure includes four short double-helical elements and three loops (D, anti-codon, and T loops). The record is from Rfam by way of RNAcentral. Lineage: Eukaryota; Metazoa; Chordata; Mammalia; Rodentia; Sciuridae.